This 470-nucleotide ribosomal RNA is filed under the name uncultured bacterium. Its description in RNAcentral is "bacterial SSU rRNA". It matches the Rfam family "Bacterial small subunit ribosomal RNA", at positions 331 to 793 of the family's 1533-position model. The record is from RNAcentral.
UGUGACUCCUAGGGAGGCAGCAGUGGGGAAUAUUGCACAAUGGGCGCAAGCCUGAUGCAGCCAUGCCGCGUGUGUGAAGAAGGCCUUCGGGUUGUAAAGCACUUUCAGUUGUGAGGAAGGUGGUGUCGUUAAUAGCGGCAUCAUUUGACGUUAGCAACAGAAGAAGCACCGGCUAACUCCGUGCCAGCAGCCGCGGUAAUACGGAGGGUGCGAGCGUUAAUCGGAAUUACUGGGCGUAAAGCGCAUGCAGGUGGUUUGUUUAAGUCAGAUGUGAAAGCCCGGGGCUCAACCUCGGAACUGCAUUUGAAACUGGCAGACUAGAGUACUGUAGAGGGGGGUAGAAUUUCAGGUGUAGCGGUGAAAUGCGUAGAGAUCUGAAGGAAUACCGGUGGCGAAGGCGGCCCCCUGGACAGAUACUGACACUCAGAUGCGAAAGCGUGGGGAGCAAACAGGAUUAGAUACCCUGGUAG